Non-coding RNA from Python bivittatus (Burmese python), 1042 nucleotides. The record is from RefSeq and is a predicted model, not a curated record. NCBI's taxonomy places the organism in Eukaryota, Metazoa, Chordata, Lepidosauria, Squamata, Pythonidae.
GCUUUGAAAAUGUUAGCUGCAGACUCUCCCUGUAUUCCACCCACUCUGCUUUUGAGUCCCUUUUCUGCUGUAGGUGCUACUGAGGGACAAGCACUAGACCAAAGAAAAAUUCGUCUUCACUAAGAAGUUGCCUUUCAUUAAUGCCCUGUAUAAGAAGACUUCCUUGCUGCCAACUCCAUCUAACAUUUCUGAAGAAAACAGUAUGUUUAUUGUCUAUCAAACAUCAAACAGUCCAGUGGGAGAUGCAGCAGAAGGCCUGCUCCGGUGCCUGAACAUAGUCAGAGCCUGGAUGAAGAAAAACAGGCUGAGACUCAACCCAGACAAGAUGGAAUGGCUGUCAAUUCAGAAGUAUAUCCUUCUUAUUCCAGGAUUGUAUCACAUUUGACUGAUGAUGUGUUCUGCUUUCCCAAAGAGAGCAGUUUCAUAACUUGGGGGUUCUUCUGGUUUCACAGCUCCUGCACAAAGAGUAGGUGGAAGCUGUGGCCAAGGAAGCAUUUGCCAGUGUCGGCUGACAUGUCAGUUGUGGUUUUACCUGGAACAGGAUGUCCUGAGGACAGUCCCUCAUGCCCUUUUCAUCUCCCAAUUAGAUUACUAUAAUUCGCUUUUCACAUUAUGCAAAGACCUGACUCUCCUGAGAAAUCGACAAUGCUGGGAAAGGUGGAAGGAAAAGAAAGAGGAUGGUCAGAAGCAAGAUUGACUGGCUCAGUUAGAGUGGUAAUGAGUGCCUGUUUGGAAGAUCUGAAGAACCAGACUGAGGACAGAUUUUCCUGGAGAAAAUCUGUCUUUCUGGUUGCUAAGGGUCAACACUGACUUGACAGCACAUAAUCUAUCAAUCGAUUUGCCUCUGUGGGAUGACCAUGAUCACUUGGUAAUUCAUUAACAUUUACAGAAAUACGCUCUUUAGAAAAAAGUCAUUCCUCUAUCUUUAGUUGUUUAAAAACUUUCCAUGGUCUCUAUCACCCGAGGCCACUUCUUGCUCUCUUCUUUUUUCCCAUGAAUGACUUAUCCUGACCCAUUUGUGUUAUGGAGAUUUGUAUUCCUA